Molecule: ribosomal RNA, 253 nt
Filed under: uncultured bacterium
Lineage: Bacteria
Description: partial 16S ribosomal RNA
Rfam family: Bacterial small subunit ribosomal RNA
Source: RNAcentral
CACGUAGGGCGCAAGCGUUGUCCGGAAUUAUUGGGCGUAAAGAGCUCGUAGGCGGUCUGUUGCGUCCGCUGUGAAAACUCGGGGCUUAACCCCGAGCCUGCAGUGGAUACGGGCAGACUAGAGGUAGGUAGGGGAGAAUGGAAUUCCCGGUGUAGCGGUGGAAUGCGCAGAUAUCAGGAGGAACACCAAUAGCGAAGGCAGCUCGCUGGGACGGUACUGACGCUAAGGCGCGAAAGCGUGGGGAGCGAACAGG